Molecule: long non-coding RNA, 297 nt
Organism: Mercenaria mercenaria
Lineage: Eukaryota; Metazoa; Mollusca; Bivalvia; Venerida; Veneridae
Exons: 3
Source: RefSeq, a predicted model, not a curated record
CUACUAUUGAACUACUGCUAAAGACCAAGUUAGGAACUACUGUUGAACUUUCUUCGGCACCGUUUUUAUAUUUUAAAUGCGGUUACUUCAAAAGGUGUGCCGAAUGCGUCAGUACUACUGGUGCGAACUGCCAUUGGUGUUCAAAAACUGCAACCUGUCAAAUGCCGAAUUCAUGUUCCGUGGAGUCAAUCUCAGAAAUCACUGCUUGCCCUCAAUUACUGGACAAAAAAGGGACCUACUUCAUACCAAACGGAAUUAGAACUAUUGUAGAUAUCAAGAUUGUUAACCUCGUACUAG